UACUUUCCCUUGACUACAUCAUCAGAGACAGAGAGAGUGAGGCCGAAAUGAGUGAAACCGUUAGAGAGAGAGAGAGAGAGAGACGGCGCUGAUGGGAGCGGGCCUUUGGUUGUGUGCAUCGGAAAGUCAGAUCGGAGAGAGAAAGAGCUAGAGGGAGAGAUGAAGAUGGGAGUGGGUGCCGGCCUAUGAUGCUGCUUGUGGAUGUCAGGAUAGGUAACGGUGGUGUGUUUGGGGGAUUCACAGCGGCCAAUAAUCGAGUUCGAUGAUAGUGUUGGUGGUUAAUUUCACGGCGGUGAAGAUGAGUGGUAACUGGUAUAGGUGGUUUGGGUGGGGUAGCAGAGGGGCUGUUGGUGGGUAGGGGCAACGAUUGAUCGUCAGUUGUGGUGUCGUGGGAUUGUCGUGGUUGACCAAAAGGGGGAACCUUCUUUCAAAUCAUCGCAGUCAUCAGAGUUCAAAUAACCACAACGAUGAUGUCUAUUUCUUUGCAACUGGAGUUGAGAAAGUGCAGUUGGUUAACAAUCCUUCUCUUGUGUGUGCUCAUGGCGGUGAUGCUUCCAAGGCCUUCCCUAAUUCAACUGCACUGAGAUUGAUGUUUCCCGUCCUGCUGAUGGGGUUUUGUUUGCUCUUCAUGACAGGUAAAUCUGUUAAAAUGCUUAAAAGAUUCAAAACGAUUAAUAUUUUAUUAAUGUGAAAAUAAGGAGCAAAUAUGAAUUAGUCUGAGGUAUUUGUAGACUUGAUUGUUGAUUCUGCAGGGAUUUGCAGCGAUUACCUGGAACAGUUCAUCUAAGGUUGGAUACCUGAGUGCAAAGGAGUUUCUAUAGCAUGUGUCGUUUGUUUAUAUGCAUGUGUAUGUCAGCCGACACCUGCCGCGAAGCGCGGGGGUAUCUACUAGUUAUAUAUAUAAAAGAUGAAAUGCUUAGCUACAGUAAAAUAAAAAUCUGUCUUUUAAUGAAUGAAAAUUGUAAUGAUUUUAGUAAAAUGAAAAUUUUAUAUGCAUGAAUAGAAAGAGUUGAUGCAUAGUAACUUUGAAAUUUGAAUGAGUUUUUUUUUUUUUUUAAUAAUAAUUCAUUUAUACCUUAGUUU
This 1083-nucleotide long non-coding RNA is filed under the name Helianthus annuus (common sunflower). Its description in RNAcentral is "hypothetical non coding rna". Lineage: Eukaryota; Viridiplantae; Streptophyta; Magnoliopsida; Asterales; Asteraceae. The record is from RNAcentral.